GGAAUCUUGGACAAUGGGGGCAACCCUGAUCCAGCGACGCCGCGUGGGUGAUGAAGGCCUUCGGGUUGUAAAGCCCUUUUACCAGGGAUGAUAAUGACAGUACCUGGAGAAUAAGCUCCGGCUAACUCCGUGCCAGCAGCCGCGGUAAUACGGAGGGAGCUAGCGUUGUUCGGAAUUACUGGGCGUAAAGCGCGCGUAGGCGGCUUUUCAAGUCAGGGGUGAAAUCCCGGGGCUCAACCCCGGAACUGCCCUUGAAACUGGAUGGCUAGAAUACUGGAGAGGUGAGUGGAAUUCCGAGUGUAGAGGUGAAAUUCGUAGAUAUUCGGAAGAACACCAGUGGCGAAGGCGACUCACUGGACAGUUAUUGACGCUGAGGUGCGAAAGCGUGGGGAGCAA
This 396-nucleotide ribosomal RNA is filed under the name uncultured bacterium. RNAcentral describes it as "bacterial SSU rRNA". It matches the Rfam family "Bacterial small subunit ribosomal RNA", at positions 358 to 771 of the family's 1533-position model. The record is from RNAcentral.